This 490-nucleotide long non-coding RNA is filed under the name Rattus norvegicus (Norway rat). RNAcentral's name for it is "long non-coding RNA NONRATT028934". Lineage: Eukaryota; Metazoa; Chordata; Mammalia; Rodentia; Muridae. The record is from RNAcentral.
CCGUCAGGGAGGGGCAGACGAGGACCCUCGGGCUUCCCCCUCACCAUGGAGAACUUACUGCCUUCGUCCAGAUUUUCUUUCUUGAAAAAGUAUCCUCUCCACUCGAUUCGGAAAUAUUUAUCAACGCUGAGAAACCAAAAGGCCGAAGAACAGGUCCUAGACAAUUAGCAUCUCGCCUGUCAGACGUGAGGCACUGAAUCCAGGCUGAUGGAAAUGACAGAAUGGGGAGUAAGGGGUGUCAUGAAUUCUAUCCAGAGACAGAAGUGCUUAAAAGAAUCCUGGUUGUUAGGUCCGGCAAGGAGGAGACAGGAUUGGGAACUCCUAAAGACCACGUUCUGUCCCUGUCCCUAUUGCUCACAUCUCCUGAACUGUGCUGCUCUACUUGGGUCACACCUGGGCUGACAUCUGUACCCAGCUGCCUUCAAAAUGUAAAAUCCGUAUGCGACGGCCUGUCCUGUCAUUGUGUCUCUGAAAUAAAGGACACAACUGC